CAUCUCUAGGCCCUUAAGGGUGUUAAGUUGUCUUCAGUGGUUAGUUAACCUUUGUCCUCCCUGAUAGAAAGGUGGGUGCGGGAUACGUUUUGUCUCUGUCUAUGUACAUCCUGCUUUUCAGUAAACACAAGGAGGGCAGAGAGUUCUCCUGCAUCUGCUACUUUCUUGCCUUCAGCUCAACAAUCCUUCUGUGAAAGAGGCAUAUUUUGUGGUGCUAUGUGCUGAUCUUCCACACAGCCAAAUGGAGGCAGAGGUCACAGAGGAACUAGAAGGAUGGAAAACUGCAGGAGAGUCUCGUUGCCAUCACUCAGUCAAUCAACCAGUUUUGGAUACCUGCCAUGUGCCAAGCCCUGACUGCAGUAAAAAGGAUACCAAAAUAAAUUACUUACUGCUCUCAAAAAGCAAACCGUUUGCUGGCAGACUUGAUCAUAUACCAAUGACUGGAGGAAGGGGAAAGUGAGCUUUAUGGUCAAAGACGUUCAAUGGCAAUAUUUUAUUUACUUAUUUAUUUAUUUUUGAGACAGAAUUUUGCUCUUGUUGCCUGAUCCACCUGCCUCGGCCUCCCAAAGUGCUGGGAUUACAGGCGUGAGCCACCGCGCCCAGUCUGGCAAUAUUUAUAAUAGUGGAAAACAGAAAACAAUUGUUCAGUAGUGUAAAAGUUUUUUUUUUUUUUGAGAUGGAGUCUCGCUCUGUUGCCCAGGCUGGAGCGCAGUGGUGCAAUCUCGGCUCACUGCAACCUCUACCUCCUGGGUUCAAGCGAUUCUCCUGUCUCAGCCUCCCGAGUAGCUGGGAUUACACGUGCCUGUCACAAUGCCCAGUCAAUUUUUUUUUUGUAUUUUUAGUAGAGACAGGGUUUCGCUGUGUUGGCCAGGCUGGUCUGGAACUCCGACCUGAGAUGAUCCACCUGCCUCGACCUCCCAAAGUGCUAGGAUUACAGGCAUGAGCCAUCACGCCCAGACCAGAAAUUUCUUAAAUAAACACUAGCUUAUAUUUGUUACUGGAAAGGGGUCACAAUUCAGACCCCAAGAGAGGGUUCUUGGAUCUCACUCAGGAAAGAAUUUGGGGCUGGACAUGGUGGCUCACACCUGUAAUCCCAGCACUUUGGGGAGGCCGAGGGAGGCAGAUGACUUGAGGUUAGGAGUUUGAGACCAGUCUGGCCAACACAGUGAAACCCCAUCUCUACUAAAAAUACAAAAAUUAGACAGGCGUGGUACUGAGCGCCUGUAAUCCCAGCUACUUGAGAGGCUGAGGCAAGAGAAUCGCUUGAACCCAGGAGGCAGAGGUUCCAGUGAGUCGAGACUGUACCAUUGUACUCCAGCCUGGGCAACAAGAGCGAGACUCUAUCUCAAAAAAAAUAAAUAAAAAUAAAAGAAAGAAAGAAAGAAUUCGGGGCGAGUCCACAGAGUAAAAUGAAAGCAAGUUU
Molecule: long non-coding RNA, 1423 nt
Filed under: Homo sapiens (human)
Lineage: Eukaryota; Metazoa; Chordata; Mammalia; Primates; Hominidae
Description: non-protein coding lnc-MSH2-1:4
Source: RNAcentral